UAUGGCAUCAUAGAAUGAUCAAAUAUUUAUAGGACUAAGAUGGGCAUGCGGAACAUUAGCUAGUUGGUAAGGUAACGGCUUACCAAGGCUACGAUGUUUAGGGGAUCUGAGAGGAUGGCCCCCCACACUGGUACUGAGACACGGACCAGACUCCUACGGGAGGCAGCAGUAAGGAAUAUUGGUCAAUGGGCGGAAGCCUGAACCAGCCAUGCCGCGUGCAGGAAGACGGCCCUACGGGUUGUAAACUGCUUUUAUACGGGAAUAAACCUCCGGUCGUGACCGGAGCUGAAUGUACUGUAAGAAUAAGGAUCGGCUAACUCCGUGCCAGCAGCCGCGGUAAUACGGAGGAUCCAAGCGUUAUCCGGAUUUAUUGGGUUUAAAGGGUGCGUAGGUGGCCUGUUAAGUCAGGGGUGAAAGACGGUAGCUCAACUAUCGCAGUGCCCUUGAUACUGAUGGGCUUGAAUGGACUAGAGGUAGGCGGAAUGUGACAAGUAGCGGUGAAAUGCAUAGAUAUGUCACAGAACACCAAUUGCGAAGGCAGCUUACUAUGGUUUUAUUGA
This 560-nucleotide ribosomal RNA is filed under the name uncultured Pedobacter sp. RNAcentral's name for it is "bacterial SSU rRNA". It matches the Rfam family "Bacterial small subunit ribosomal RNA", at positions 184 to 743 of the family's 1533-position model. Lineage: Bacteria; Pseudomonadati; Bacteroidota; Sphingobacteriia; Sphingobacteriales; Sphingobacteriaceae. The record is from RNAcentral.